This 253-nucleotide ribosomal RNA is filed under the name uncultured bacterium. Its description in RNAcentral is "partial 16S ribosomal RNA". It matches the Rfam family "Bacterial small subunit ribosomal RNA", at positions 524 to 776 of the family's 1533-position model. The record is from RNAcentral.
UACGUAGGGAGCAAGCGUUGUUCGGAUUUACUGGGCGUAAAGGGCGCGUAGGCGGCGCGGUAAGUCACUUGUGAAAUCUCUGAGCUUAACUCGGAACGGUCAAGUGAUACUGCAGUGCUAGAGUGCGGAAGGGGCAAUCGGAAUUCUUGGUGUAGCGGUGAAAUGCGCAGAUAUCAGGAAGAACACCCGUGGCUAAGGCGGCUCUCUAGUACGGUACUGACGCUGAGACGCGAAAGCGUGGGGAGCGAACAGG